GAUGAACGCUGGCGGCGUGCCUAAUACAUGCAAGUCGAGCGAACAGACGAGGAGCUUGCUCCUUUGACGUUAGCGGCGGACGGGUGAGUAACACGUGGGUAACCUACCUAUAAGACUGGGAUAAUUUCGGGAAACCGGAGCUAAUACCGGAUAAUAUUUCGAACCGCAUGGUUCGAUAGUGAAAGAUGGCUCUGCUAUCACUUAUAGAUGGACCUGCGCCGUAUUAGCUAGUUGGUAAGGUAACGGCUUACCAAGGCAACGAUACGUAGCCGACCUGAGAGGGUGAUCGGCCACACUGGAACUGAGACACGGUCCAGACUCCUACGGGAGGCAGCAGUAGGGAAUCUUCCGCAAUGGGCGAAAGCCUGACGGAGCAACGUCGCGUGAGUGAUGAAGGUCUUCGGAUCGUAAAACUCUGUUAUUAGGGAAGAACAAACGUGUAAGUAACUGUGCACGUCUUGACGGUACCUAAUCAGAAAGCCACGGCUAACUACGUG
This 497-nucleotide ribosomal RNA is filed under the name uncultured bacterium. Its description in RNAcentral is "partial 16S ribosomal RNA". It matches the Rfam family "Bacterial small subunit ribosomal RNA", at positions 28 to 507 of the family's 1533-position model. The record is from RNAcentral.